GCUGGCGGCGUGCUUAACACAUGCAAGUCGAACGGGAAACAUUUUAUUGAAGCUUCGGCAGAUUUAGUUUGUUUCUAGUGGCGGACGGGUGAGUAACGCGUGGGUAACCUGCCUCACACUGGGGGAUAACAGUCAGAAAUGACUGCUAAUACCGCAUAAGCGCACGGAACCGCAUGGUUUUGUGUGAAAAACUCCGGUGGUGUGAGAUGGACCCGCGUUGGAUUAGCCAGUUGGCAGGGUAACGGCCUACCAAAGCGACGAUCCAUAGCCGGCCUGAGAGGGUGAACGGCCACAUUGGGACUGAGACACGGCCCAGACUCCUACGGGAGGCAGCAGUGGGGAAUAUUGCACAAUGGGGGAAACCCUGAUGCAGCGACGCCGCGUGAAGGAAGAAGUAUCUCGGUAUGUAAACUUCUAUCAGCAGGGAAGAAAAUGACGGUACCUGACUAAGAAGCCCCGGCUAACUACGUGCCAGCAGCCGCGGUAAUACGUAGGGGGCAAGCGUUAUCCGGAUUUACUGGGUGUAAAGGGAGCGUAGACGG
RNAcentral lists this ribosomal RNA (542 nucleotides) under Ruminococcus sp. 316498/08. RNAcentral's name for it is "bacterial SSU rRNA". It matches the Rfam family "Bacterial small subunit ribosomal RNA", at positions 35 to 578 of the family's 1533-position model. Lineage: Bacteria; Bacillati; Bacillota; Clostridia; Eubacteriales; Oscillospiraceae. The record is from RNAcentral.